This 253-nucleotide ribosomal RNA is filed under the name uncultured bacterium. RNAcentral describes it as "partial 16S ribosomal RNA". It matches the Rfam family "Bacterial small subunit ribosomal RNA", at positions 524 to 776 of the family's 1533-position model. The record is from RNAcentral.
UACAGAGGGUGCGAGCGUUAAUCGGAAUUACUGGGCGUAAAGCGUGCGUAGACGGUUAUUUAAGUCGGAUGUGAAAGCCCCGGGCUCAACCUGGGAAUUGCAUUCGAGACUGAAUAGCUAGGGUGCGGUAGAGGGAAGCGGAAUUUCCGGUGUAGCGGUGAAAUGCGUAGAUAUGCGGAGGAACACCAAUGGCGAAGGCAAUCCCCUGGACCUGUACUGACGCUCAUGCACGAAAGCGUGGGGAGCAAACAGG